Molecule: ribosomal RNA, 270 nt
Filed under: Staphylococcus aureus
Lineage: Bacteria; Bacillati; Bacillota; Bacilli; Caryophanales; Staphylococcaceae
Description: partial 23S ribosomal RNA
Rfam family: Bacterial large subunit ribosomal RNA
Source: RNAcentral
GUAGGAAAUUUGAGAGGAGCUGUCCUUAGUACGAGAGGACCGGGAUGGACAUACCUCUGGUGUACCAGUUGUCGUGCCAACGGCAUAGCUGGGUAGCUAUGUGUGGACGGGAUAAGUGCUGAAAGCAUCUAAGCAUGAAGCCCCCCUCAAGAUGAGAUUUCCCAACUUCGGUUAUAAGAUCCCUCAAAGAUGAUGAGGUUAAUAGGUUCGAGGUGGAAGCAUGGUGACAUGUGGAGCUGACGAAUACUAAUCGAUCGAAGACUUAAUCAA